UACGUAGGUGACAAGCGUUGUCCGGAUUUACUGGGCGUAAAGAGCGCGCAGGCGGUCGAUCAAGUCGAGUGUGAAAGCCCCCGGCUCAACUGGGGAGGGUCAUUCGAUACUGAUCGACUCGAAGGCAGGAGAGGGUAGUGGAAUUCCCGGUGUAGUGGUGAAAUGCGUAGAUAUCUGGAGGAAUACCGGUGGCGAAGGCGGCAUCCUGGACCGAGAUUGACGCUGAACGGCGAAAGCUAGGGGAGCAAACGGG
This 253-nucleotide ribosomal RNA is filed under the name uncultured bacterium. RNAcentral's name for it is "partial 16S ribosomal RNA". It matches the Rfam family "Bacterial small subunit ribosomal RNA", at positions 524 to 776 of the family's 1533-position model. The record is from RNAcentral.